GGAAAUCCUCUUCACCAUCAGGAGAGGCUGCAUAUCUGGAAAAGAGAAAGCAUGCUUUCUGAUUGAACCCUAUUUUAUUGCAACCAUCAGAGGUUUUCUUCUCUCUUCUCUGGGUUGGGCAAUCAGCUACAUCAGAGAGGUUACUCAAUGUGAAGAUGACAACAAGGGUGAAGACUUUAAUGAUGAUCCACUUCCACUUAAAAAAUAAUAAAUAUAUUUUCU
This 222-nucleotide long non-coding RNA is filed under the name Homo sapiens (human). RNAcentral describes it as "HSALNT0394041". Lineage: Eukaryota; Metazoa; Chordata; Mammalia; Primates; Hominidae. The record is from RNAcentral.